Carnobacterium maltaromaticum LMA28 is the source of this 223-nucleotide regulatory RNA element. It matches the Rfam family "T-box leader". Rfam says of the family: Uncharged tRNA acts as the effector for transcription antitermination of genes in the T-box leader family. T-boxes are found upstream of many aminoacyl-tRNA synthetase genes and some amino acid biosynthetic genes usually in Gram-positive bacteria. Lineage: Bacteria; Bacillati; Bacillota; Bacilli; Lactobacillales; Carnobacteriaceae. The record is from Rfam.
AUAAAAGCAGUGAUGAGAAAAGUAGUUUAGCGAAUGUCCAAAGAGAGUCUGUGUAGGUGAAAUCAGACGUCAGAAGCUAAAUAAAGUGCCUCUCGGAGUUGUCCUAGUGAAGUUUAAAGUAGCUAAGACCGGUUCACACCCGUUAACCUGUUUGAGUUAAUUACCCUUAAUUAGGCUAAUUAAGAAUAAAAGUGGAACCACGCAAUGAGAAGGCGUCUUUUGU